This 555-nucleotide long non-coding RNA is filed under the name Vigna radiata. RNAcentral describes it as "long non-coding RNA (VRAD_LNC011323)". Lineage: Eukaryota; Viridiplantae; Streptophyta; Magnoliopsida; Fabales; Fabaceae. The record is from RNAcentral.
AUUAUAAAAGAGUUCCAUGUUUUACGUUAAUCUCAACAAAUAAGAAUAACUUCCAUGGUGAAGAAGUUAGGGUUCUAUAAAUUAAAGAAAUAGAAAAGAAAUGGAAACUAAAAAGAAGAUGCAAGCUCUCUCCCAAGGUUCUUAACAGCUACUCCAUGACCUAAUUGCGCCUCCCUUUCGUGUCAACGCCUCCAACUCGUAGCUCCUCUCCCUCAUCAACCCUAAGAAGGGAAAAACAUCAUGGAUGAAGAUUGAAUACCUAAAGGAGGAGUGGGAGAGCUUCCCAACACCCAGAACAACAUUCAAUAGCCUCUCUCACUCGUCAUAGGUUGAAAGUGAAGUGUGGGAGGAAAAAUAUCUCCAAAACCUCACAAGAAACAAGUUUAAAUAAUCCAUUUUAACAUGUCAACGAUGCCACCGCUCAAUGCCAUAUUAGUACCGAGCUCUGUUAGUUAAAACACACAAGGAGAUCUAUGUCAAACCAUCACUCAACAUCAUUUUUCACUGCUGAGCUCUAUCCUGAUGGAGCUCAGCCCUACUAUUCCACCAUUCGGC